ACAAGAUUUGGAUGGGACGAAGGUAUCUCUGACGAGCAGGGCAUCGGAAUUGAACGUCUAUGUGGGAAGCGAUGCCACAACAGUAGCAGCUGGAUCUGUACAAAACAGAAAAGCUAAAUUUACUCUCGAGAAACAGCCAGAGGGAAUAAAUAUAUACACUUUGAGAAACGAGAGAUAUAGAAGGCAAUUUUUGACAAUCACUACAGAAAAGCAACUAGAAGCGAAUCGUAAAAGUGACAACUCUAACUUUCGCGUAACUGAGACAAACGAAAGUUACUACAGAUUUGAAUCUGUUUCCUUCCCAAGGUCCUUCAUAGGUGUCAACACUAGAGGGGAAAUUGUUCCUCCCGAUCGGGUAGUACUUGGUCCUGAAUCUCAAUUCUACGAUGGCAGUUCUAAUACAAGAUCGAAAUCGUCUUCAGACAAUUAUUGCAAAUGUCAACUGAUUUAAAAAUUGACGGUUGUUUUUAGGUUGUCUACAGAAAAUUGCUGUCUAUAGAUUGUUUUAGUGGUUAUUGUUUAUCAGCAUUACGCGUACACUGUCUUAGUUUAU
Long non-coding RNA from Corticium candelabrum, 553 nucleotides. RefSeq lists it as uncharacterized. The transcript is spliced from 3 exons. The record is from RefSeq and is a predicted model, not a curated record. Lineage: Eukaryota; Metazoa; Porifera; Homoscleromorpha; Homosclerophorida; Plakinidae.